RNAcentral lists this ribosomal RNA (254 nucleotides) under uncultured bacterium. Its description in RNAcentral is "partial 16S ribosomal RNA". It matches the Rfam family "Bacterial small subunit ribosomal RNA", at positions 524 to 776 of the family's 1533-position model. The record is from RNAcentral.
UACGGGGGGGCAAGCGUUGUUCGGAAUUACUGGGCGUAAAGGGCUCGUAGGCGGCCAACUAAGUCAGACGUGAAAUCCCUCGGCUUAACCGGGGAACUGCGUCUGAUACUGGAUGGCUAGAGGUUGGGAGAGGGAUGCGGAAUUCCAGGUGUAGCGGUGAAAUGACGCAGAUAUCAGGAAGAACACCCGUGGCGAAAGCGGCUCUCUGGGACGGUACUGGACGCUGAGACGCGAAAGCGUGGGGAGCGAACAGG